UGCAAGUCGAACGAUGAACCACUUCGGUGGGGAUUAGUGGCGAACGGGUGAGUAACACGUGGGCAAUCUGCCCUGCACUCUGGGACAAGCCCUGGAAACGGGGUCUAAUACCGGAUACUGAUCCUCGCAGGCAUCUGCGAGGUUCGAAAGCUCCGGCGGUGCAGGAUGAGCCCGCGGCCUAUCAGCUAGUUGGUGAGGUAACGGCUCACCAAGGCGACGACGGGUAGCCGGCCUGAGAGGGCGACCGGCCACACUGGGACUGAGACACGGCCCAGACUCCUACGGGAGGCAGCAGUGGGGAAUAUUGCACAAUGGGCGAAAGCCUGAUGCAGCGACGCCGCGUGAGGGAUGACGGCCUUCGGGUUGUAAACCUCUUUCAGCAGGGAAGAAGCGAAAGUGACGGUACCUGCAGAAGAAGCGCCGGCUAACUACGUGCCAGCAGCCGCGGUAAUACGUAGGGCGCAAGCGUUGUCCGGAAUUAUUGGGCGUAAAGAGCUCGUAGGCGGCUUGUCACGUCGGUUGUGAAAGCCCGGGGCUUAACCCCGGGUCUGCAGUCGAUACGGGCAGGCUAGAGUUCGGUAGGGGAGAUCGGAAUUCCUGGUGUAGCGGUGAAAUGCGCAGAUAUCAGGAGGAACACCGGUGGCGAAGGCGGAUCUCUGGGCCGAUACUGACGCUGAGGAGCGAAAGCGUGGGGAGCGAACAGGAUUAGAUACCCUGGUAGUCCACGCCGUAAACGGUGGGCACUAGGUGUGGGCAACAUUCCACGUUGUCCGUGCCGCAGCUAACGCAUUAAGUGCCCCGCCUGGGGAGUACGGCCGCAAGGCUAAAACUCAAAGGAAUUGACGGGGGCCCGCACAAGCGGCGGAGCAUGUGGCUUAAUUCGACGCAACGCGAAGAACCUUACCAAGGCUUGACAUACACCGGAAAACCCUGGAGACAGGGUCCCCCUUGUGGUCGGUGUACAGGUGGUGCAGGGCUGUCGUCAGUUCGUGUCGUGAAAUGUUGGGUUAAGUCCCGCAACGAGCGCAACCCUUGGUCCCGUGUUGCCAGCAGGCCCUUGUGGUGCUGGGGACUCACGGGAGACCGCCGGGGUCAACUCGGAGGAAGGUGGGGACGACGUCAAGUCAUCAUGCCCCUUAUGUCUUGGGCUGCACACGUGCUACAAUGGCCGGUACAAUGAGCUGCGAUACCGCGAGGUGGAGCGAAUCUCAAAAAGCCGGUCUCAGUUCGGAUUGGGGUCUGCAACUCGACCCCAUGAAGUCGGAGUCGCUAGUAAUCGCAGAUCAGCAUUGCUGCGGUGAAUACGUUCCCGGGCCUUGUACACACCGCCCGUCACGUCACGAAAGUCGGUAACACCCGAAGCCGGUGGCCCAACCCCUUG
This 1381-nucleotide ribosomal RNA is filed under the name Streptomyces sp. IIUME14. Its description in RNAcentral is "bacterial SSU rRNA". It matches the Rfam family "Bacterial small subunit ribosomal RNA". The record is from RNAcentral. Lineage: Bacteria; Bacillati; Actinomycetota; Actinomycetes; Kitasatosporales; Streptomycetaceae.